RNAcentral lists this ribosomal RNA (468 nucleotides) under uncultured bacterium. RNAcentral describes it as "partial 16S ribosomal RNA". It matches the Rfam family "Bacterial small subunit ribosomal RNA", at positions 28 to 507 of the family's 1533-position model. The record is from RNAcentral.
GACGAACGCUGGCGGCGUGCUUAGCACAUGCAAGUCGAACGGAAAGGCCCUGCUUUUGUUGGGUGCUCGAGUGGCGAACGGGUGAGUAACACGUGAGUAACCUGCCCUUGACUUUGGGAUAACUUCAGGAAACUGGGGCUAAUACCGGAUAUGAGCUCCUGCUGCAUGGUGGGGGUUGGAAAGUUUCGGCGGUUGGGGAUGGACUCGCGGCUUAUCAGCUUGUUGGUGGGGUAGUGGCUUACCAAGGGUUUGACGGGUAGCCGGCCUGAGAGGGUGACCGGCCACAUUGGGACUGAGAUACGGCCCAGACUCCUACGGGAGGCAGCAGUGGGGAAUAUUGCACAAUGGGCGGAAGCCUGAUGCAGCAACGCCGCGUGCGGGAUGACGGCCUUCGGGUUGUAAACCGCUUUCGCCUGUGACGAAGCGUGAGUGACGGUAAUGGGUAAAGAAGCACCGGCUAACUACGUG